Molecule: ribosomal RNA, 910 nt
Filed under: uncultured bacterium
Lineage: Bacteria
Description: bacterial SSU rRNA
Rfam family: Bacterial small subunit ribosomal RNA
Source: RNAcentral
ACGCUGGCGGCGUGCCUAAUACAUGCAAGUAGAACGCACAGUUUAUACCGUAGCUUGCUACACCAUAGACUGUGAGUUGCGAACGGGUGAGUAACGCGUAGGUAACCUGCCUGGUAGCGGGGGAUAACUAUUGGAAACGAUAGCUAAUACCGCAUAAUAUUAAUUAUUGCAUGAUAAUUGAUUAAGAGGUGCAAUUGCACCACUACCAGAUGGACCUGCGUUGUAUUAGCUAGUAGGUGAGGUAACGGCUCACCUAGGCGACGAUACAUAGCCGACCUGAGAGGGUGAUCGGCCACACUGGGACUGAGACACGGCCCAGACUCCUACGGGAGGCAGCAGUAGGGAAUCUUCGGCAAUGGACGAAAGUCUGACCGAGCAACGCCGCGUGAGUGAAGAAGGUUUUCGGAUCGUAAAGCUCUGUUGUAAGAGAAGAACGGGUGUGAGAGUGGAAAGUUCACACUGUGACGGUAUCUUACCAGAAAGGGACGGCUAACUACGUGCCAGCAGCCGCGGUAAUACGUAGGUCCCGAGCGUUGUCCGGAUUUAUUGGGCGUAAAGCGAGCGCAGGCGGUUAGAUAAGUCUGAAGUUAAAGGCUGUGGCUUAACCAUAGUACGCUUUGGAAACUGUUUAACUUGAGUGCAGAAGGGGAGAGUGGAAUUCCAUGUGUAGCGGUGAAAUGCGUAGAUAUAUGGAGGAACACCGGUGGCGAAAGCGGCUCUCUGGUCUGUAACUGACGCUGAGGCUCGAAAGCGUGGGGAGCGAACAGGAUUAGAUACCCUGGUAGUCCACGCCGUAAACGAUGAGUGCUAGGUGUUAGGCCCUUUCCGGGGCUUAGUGCCGCAGCUAACGCAUUAAGCACUCCGCCUGGGGAGUACGACCGCAAGGUUGAAACUCAAAGGAAUUGACGGG